This 690-nucleotide ribosomal RNA is filed under the name uncultured Eubacteriales bacterium. Its description in RNAcentral is "bacterial SSU rRNA". It matches the Rfam family "Bacterial small subunit ribosomal RNA", at positions 8 to 699 of the family's 1533-position model. Lineage: Bacteria; Bacillati; Bacillota; Clostridia; Eubacteriales. The record is from RNAcentral.
AGAGUUUGAUCCUGGCUCAGGAUGAACGCUGGCGGCGCGCUUAACACAUGCAAGUCGAACGAGAAGUUUAUUAGGAUCCUUCGGGUGAAUAAUAAAUGGACAGUGGCGGACGGGUGAGUAACGCGUGGGUAACCUACCUUGUACUGGGGGAUAACAGUUUGAAAAAGCUGCUAAUACCGCAUAAGACCACAGAGUCGCAUGGCUCAGUGGUAAAAACUCCGGUGGUACAAGAUGGACCCGCGUCUGAUUAGCUAGUAGGUGAGGUAAUGGCUCACCUAGGCGACGAUCAGUAGCCGGCCUGAGAGGGUGAUCGGCCACAUUGGAACUGAGACACGGUCCAAGCUCCUACGGGAGGCAGCAGUGGGGAAUAUUGCACAAUGGGGGAAACCCUGAUGCAGCGACGCCGCGUGAAGGAUGAAGGUUUUAGGAUCGUAAACUUCUAUCAGCAGGGAAGAAUAAAUGACAGUACCUGACUAAGCAGCCCCGGCUAACUACGUGCCAGCAGCCGCGGUAAUACGUAGGGGGCAAGCGUUAUCCGGAAUCACUGGGUGUAAAGGGUGCGUAGGCAGUAUGAUAAGUCAGAUGUGAAAGCCAAGGGCUCAACCUUUGGACUGCAUUUGAAACUAUCAAACUAGAGUAUGGGAGAGGAAAGUGGAAUUCCUAGUGUAGCGGUGAAAUGCGUAGAUAUUA